GCUACAGCCCUGGCGUCGGGGGGCCUGGGAUGAGCCGCUGUAGGCAGGAGGGGAGUGGUCAGUAUGAAGUGGCGGGUCCCUAAUAGGUCUUUAAGACGAGCCCAGCGCGGGAAGUACCCUCUGGGGGAGGCUGGUGGGCUGAGAAAGGACAAGUAAAAAAUGGAAUUAGGGGCCUGACUCCGUGGCAAAGCGAUGGGGAGAAACAGAGAAAGGGAUGAUCUUGUUGGGGGGAGAAAUUGGGGCUAGAGAGUGGGAGAGAUUGGAUUACUUGUGGACCAGACGGGAUAGGAGCUGUGUGGUGUGUGUGAGUGUAGGGGGUGGGGGUGGUGAGGAGUACUCUGGGGUCUGGGGAGGUGCAGUGGGGUCAGGAGACUGUGGGGUGAAAAUGAAGACCGCUGAAUGGGAAGGGGGAACAGAGACAUUUGGGAUCAAGCCAUUCCAGACCAGAGCCAUCUUCCUGCCCCAGCUCUGAACCCCAUCUCUCCGGCCUCAUUUCUUUGACCUGGGUCAGAGCUUUGCUCAUGGUGUCCGCUUUCAUGGUGCAGCGGAGUUCACACUAGCUAGCGUUCUGGUAGGUGGAAUGGUAGCACUGCCCCAUCACUCCUGGGCCUCCCCCAUCUUUGCUGAGUUUCCCCUUUCACAUUUUGUCCUUCCUAAGUAGUUGGAGUCUACUUCCUAGGUCAAUUACUAGCUAUAGCUGAGGGCACAGAGGAGCAGGUGGCUGUACAAAGCCACUUUCAGGCUGUGGACACAGGGCUGAGAAAUGGAAACCCGCCAGUGCCCAUUCCAGCUUUGACUUGGCUGAGGCAGCCUUGGGUCAAGGCCUCUCUGUAGUCCUGGUUUCCACCAACAUCAGGAAGGGGAGCUGCAAGAGCCAUCUAGGCAGGCACCCCAGGACUGUGCCAGUGAAUGUGAGGAUGGACUUGCUCUAAGGAAAAGCUGUUUGCUUGCCAACACUGGCCACUGGUGACAAAGGAAACGGCAAAUCUGAGAAGACUUCCAGUGAGGCACUAGUCAAGAGCUGAAAUAUUCCCUGCCUGCUGUCUCUUACUCUAUGCUCACACUCUGUGAGAGGCCACUUUGUGAUUCCAUGGAGUCCCAUUGGAGAGGUAACAAAUACCCCAUGAAGGAGCUCUAGAAAGAGGACAUUGAUUUGGAAGUGUACAGACUAGUGCCUGCUGGUUCCUGGGCCACUUGUACCCCAUGGCUGAGAUGACAGACGCCACCUAACAGCCUAAGUCACAGCACAGAGACAAAGUGGAAUUUCAGAGCCCUCAGCAUCAAAAACAAGUCACCCAAGCUAAACCUCUGCGUGGUAUGUGGUAGGGCUUCUGGGUAGGUGCAGCCCAUGAUUCUGAUGUUGAAACAAAUUGUAGUUACGGCAAUAAGAUGUCCAAAGGAAGGACUCAGACAGUUGGGUGUCUGCAAGCAGGCUACUCCUGUGAUACCAACAGCCUUGACAUCUCAGUGCUGCUAACGGGUAAACUGAGAAGCAUCCGAACUGGGCACUUAGCCCUCUCAUACUUCCUUGCACCUGAGCAGAGCUCAUCUCCCAAGAGCACACCCGCCUGAAGCCCAGCCUGAGAUGCGCCAUGAACCUCUCUGCGAGUGACAGCCCCUGAGCCAUCUGGAAAGAGCGCUUCCUAGACUUAGAGUGGAAGUCACGGCUUCCCCCAAGAUGCAGGUGCUGACUGUGAGCUGGCUCCCAGGCUCUCCUUUCAGCUGUCCAUUUUGGAAACCUGUCAACUGGAACACACCUCCCAAUACCCAACGGAGUAUCUCCUCAAGGGCACUCUCUAAUACAUUUCCUAUUUAGGCUGUGCUGGUGAUGUCCUAUAUUUUUACCCUCUUCUACCCAGCUCCAUAGAUACCUGGCAGAAAAGUUAGCUUCUACCCUGAGGUCUCCUUAAAGAACUGCUAGCCAGAAAAGAUCUGCUGAUCAUUGAGGAAGAACUUCUUAAGAGUAAGAGAUUUUCAGCCUUGUUUCUGAAAUAAAAAGAUCUAAGUGUUGGCUUUAUGAAGGAGGAAAUAAAGAGAAACCCUUUUCUCCCGUCCUUCAACUGGUCUAGAAGUCACACAAGGAGUCGCAUGUAUCUAGAAGUCACACAAGGAUCCAAAUCAAAAGCAAAGCAAAUACAAACAAGCAAAACCAUCAACAUAUCCAUUCCAUGAAGUGCAUUUCUUAGUCCAGCUUGUACUGGUUUGGUCCAGCAUGAAGGCCAAGUGCUCCUGGUUUAGAACUUGCAGGAAAGUUCACAAAUCCAAGUAAGCUGCCCAAAGGGAUACUCCAGAUGGAUCACUACCAAUACAUUCAUAAGAAAGCACUGGAGCUUCUCCAAAUAGAAUUUACUUCCAAGUUUGCAGUCCACGAAGGUUUCACGUAAUCAUUUGGUCCACGUCAUCAUUUAAACUCAGAAGCAUUCACACCGUUACAUCUCUACACUUUCUAAUAUUCUACACAACCUUUAAAGGAGUGUUUCUCUGCAUCUUUCAUUCUGUGGACAUUGCCCACCCCCUCCAAAAUAAUUCCUACGUUUUUCAAUCUUUGGAAGCUUCUCCUCUGAGAGGCCUCCAGAGGCCCAACUUUAAUAGAAUCUGAGGAAAAAAGCUGGCCAGUCUAUGUGCUAUCCACAGUGAUGCCAAACUCUGACUCCUGGAGCCAGUUCUCCCUGCAGGGCAGUCAGGAAACAAGUGAGCAAGAAGUAACCUCAGAAGAAACAAACUUCAGGAGAAUGUGCACUGAGAAAAGCCAGACUGCGUCCCUCUGAAUCAAGUUAAUUAAAAAACAAUUAAACAUGACAGUAUAUUGGAACCAAAACCAAAUAAUACCAUGAGGGCAGGUUUCUCCAUAGCCCAGAGAAGACACAGUUCCUUUUCAACUAAAAAUAGAAAGCCACCAGAACAUAAGCCAAGAAGCACGGAUUUGUGUCUGGCCCUCGGGAUUCAACAGUUCCCGGCACCCUGCGACAGGACAUCAGGCAACAGGCUAGGAGUUUGGCCAACAAGUUCUUACACGCCUCACAAUUAUGCUAAGAGCUUGCAGAUAUCUAGCUGGAGGCUCAAGGACCCAAGUGAAAACAUUAGGUUUUUUGCCCACUCCGCAGCGUAAGGCGAGAGGUCAUCUGCCCAGGGAGUGCCCUCGUGUCCUGGCACUAUCUCUUAAUUGGCAUAACACUGGUAACCAGGUUGGCUUCUACACCCAGCAGUGCCCGUGUGGUUGGCGCCAUCUGAAUUUAAAGCAUUCUCUGGCCCUCUGUGUUCUUGGGAGAGCCCUGAAUCGCUCAUGGGCACCUAGGACGGGAGUGCAGGAGGAUUCCCCAAACGCAUGGCAAGCGCGAGGGGCGUCGGCCGCCUUCUCAGAGCAGGCCCAUGCAAUGGCCACGGAAAGAGCAGCGCUGAGACGGAUCGGCGACCGGGCGGAAAGGUGCCAGGCUCGCCCCGGGUGCCCACUCCUCCUGGCAGCCCCCGGAAGCGCCGCCCUCCGGCCCUGCGGGCUCCGAGGGGGCGGGGAGUCUAACGCCCCCUUCCGGGUGCCUCCGCCCGGCUGGCCAGCCCCGCUCCUCCUCCGGGCGGGAAUCCUCCCUCCCCCGCCCCUCCCGGAGCCGGGCCCCGGCGCCAGGCCCGGCCCCAGGGGGGAACCCCCGGCUUCGGCUCCCCCUCCCUGCGGCCUCUGCCCGUCUUCCUGACCCUUGGGGGCCGGGAAGACCCCACCGGCAGCGGCCAGG
Long non-coding RNA from Manis javanica (Malayan pangolin), 3725 nucleotides. RefSeq lists it as uncharacterized. The record is from RefSeq and is a predicted model, not a curated record. Lineage: Eukaryota; Metazoa; Chordata; Mammalia; Pholidota; Manidae.